This 258-nucleotide ribosomal RNA is filed under the name uncultured bacterium. Its description in RNAcentral is "partial 16S ribosomal RNA". The record is from RNAcentral.
CUGCUGCCUCCCGUAGGAGUUUGGGCCGUGUCUCAGUCCCAAUGUGGCCGUCCACCCUCUCAGGCCGGCUACUGAUCGUCGCUUUGGUAGGCCGUUACCCUGCCAACUGGCUAAUCAGACGCGGGUCCAUCGUAUACCUCCGGAAAUUUUCACACUCUGCCAUGCGACAGUGUGCGCUUAUGCGGUAUUAGCAGUUGUUUCCAACUGUUAUCCCCCUGUAUACGGCAGGUUACCCACGCGUUACCCACCCGUCCGCCA